AGAAGCAUUAUUAUUCCCUCUUCAGCAUUCGCCAAUAUUCUACAAUGCAACGCUGAUUGCCCUAAUCCAACUGAACCCUACUUUCAAACGAUCGGGAGAAGGAAAAAGCGAAACCCAUGAUGGACGGCUGAAAGAAACUGAAAUUGAUCCACUUCUUCAAAACGGUCAUGAAUCCGUGCGUGUUCCCGUAACUUUGAAAUUGAAACUAGACGAGACGCUGCUUGUGGUGACGUUUUCUGAAGUGUGCGCAUUCAAAGGCAGCCAGGAUAAAGCGAAGAACGAUCGAUGAUGACAACGGUGCGCUGCGAUAGUUGCUUGAGGUUGUGCUGUCGUCCCAGCUUCUUACAACCCCUCUGCUGGAACCUGUCUUUCAACGGUGCUAGCUGAAAGGUCUUAUGGAAGAGAGAAAUUCUGGCACAGUGAUAUACGGCGAACGUUUUAAUGUUUUUCAAGAUUUUCCCACUUUCCACAACGGACGCUCCUUGUUGCUGCACGAUCAGCAACAUCAACCUAACGGGUAAAGCGUGGUGAAGCCUCCUCUUUUUCGUUCUCGCGCGUCUUAAGGCUUAAAACGUUUGGUGCAGUGUGCUUUUUGAAUUUUCAUUGCUUAUACAGACCCACGAAGCAGCGUCUCAGAUGCGCUCUCUGUAUAGUCCAAGCCCAGCUUGUAGAUAAAGCGGAUAGUGCGAAGAGGAAACGAAGACACACCGUUAAUUCGUGACUGGUGGCAAUAUUGGCUGCAUUUAAAAACAAUGAUUCACAUUAUGCUGGCAGUGUGUUAGGUGUGUGUGUGUGUAUUUGUGUGAGAUCAAGAAGAUCGAGUUGAACCGAGUGGUUUGCGGUUAAGAAUGAAAACAGUGUAAGUCAUUUUGUGACAAGAGUGUGUACAGUUUAAAGUUCUUACUACGGCGCCACCACGACCCCUGCUACGAUCGGGAAUCAUUCGUCAUCACGGUGUCAUCACGAUUCUCCAUCAUUGUCGCUGUCGUCACACGUUGGGCUGAGGACGUAUCACGCCGGAUGCUUCAGGAGAAAAAGUCCCUUGAGAGAGAAGGACCUAUAAACCCAGUUCCCCGGUACACUUGUUGUAGCAGGAAAGGAAGUAAAAACACUUCAAACUUGUGGCGGCGGCAGACUCCUGAAGAUAUGGCCACAUGGCCGACACGAUGACGGAUGUUUACAAGCGUCCUCCUACACAUGAUCUUGUGAUCGUAGCAGCAGCAGCAGCAACAGCAGGUUGGUAGUUGGAUGGUUCCCUUUUGCUCUACUUCAUCAGCGUCAGCAGUGAAUCUUCUUCGUGCUCUGCUCGCAGCGUCCUUGCCAACGCCAUUUGUUCCGUUCCUGAGCUCUCCGUGACCCAAGAUGCCCAGAUCGUCCCGCAUUGAUCACGCAUCCCAGGUUCCAGGUAGGAUCGUCGCUUUUUUUCUAUGUAUGGUGCCUCCCGUAGCUGCCAACGUUUCCGAUUCUACGUGCAUUCGAAUACUGAUGAAGAUUAGAAAGAAGGAAAGAAAGAAAGAAAGAUGGCCGCUGUAAGAUCCCGGUGUUGUCGUUUGCAGCUGCGUGCAGCUCGGCUCCCCGGUGGCACUUAGGCGAGGUGAGAAUGGUUUGGUUUUGUCCAUUUCAUACCAACGCUCUUGUACGAGCGUCCGUUCGCAAUCUGCCACAUAAUCCCACCGACAGACACAGACAGACGGUCCACUUCCUGCCAUUCGGACGAGUCUUCGAGAGUCGGCCAACACAUUUAGCGAGCGUGUCGCGUGGAGUGCUUUGCUUCCGGUUUGUCGUUAUGGUAAGAACCGCAUUUGCAUGUUGCAUUGUUACAUUGUGAAACAAUAUUAUUAUAAUAAUUUUGUCUGCCUAUAAUAUCGUGCCCUUGUGUGACAUUAAAAGUAUCCCUUCCCAUCGGUGCUGCUUAUCCUCUUCUCCUUCCCAAGUCUAGGGAUUUUCCGUCCAAUUCCCACACCAUCACUCAACCCAAUAAAGACCAAUUAGGGAACGUGAGACGGAAAGGAUACAUUGGUACCGCUCGUGAGCGACGAGAAUCACGUCAAUCCCAACUCUGUCGCUGGUAUUUCUCCUGGGAACAAGCUUCAUCCCUUCGCUCGUUUCGUCCAUCUGAACGCUUCGCUUAAUGAGCCGCCCGGAACGAUGGAUAAUGAACACGGAUUGGUGCAUUUCUAGCGGGUCCUUAACAGGGAACUAAACGACUAUUUUGGGAACGAUCUUUAAAUCGUUUCCUUUCUUUUUUCGUACGAUGAAGGUUCCGGUUUGUAUGAAGGUUUUGUACUUUUCUGUCCAUCGGAUUUGUGUUCCUUUUGAGAUCUUAAUUUGCUGAGCUAUCUGUAGAUAAUCGAACCAAAUUGAAGGAUUAAUAUGGUACAAUCAAUCUCCGGCAGAACUUUGUGUAAGGUGUAAUGAAGACCCUCCAGAUAUAAUAAUGUUAUUAGGGGUUAUUAGCGUCAAACGCUCCGAUAUAAAUGGAGAAGAAAAAUCUCCCCGGGUCGGCUUAUUUACAGACUGUGGACACUUAGAACCGAUCGUCUACCAGACUAUCAGAGUUAGUACAAGUAGAUUAUCCAAAGAGUUCAGGUCCGAACGAAUUUGCAACUGUGGCGUGGCAGAGACUUCUUAUCUACACCAACACGAAGUUCCGCGCCAAUAUCAUGAAAUAUGUAUUCAACGCCCUCCAGCACUCUCACCACAAGAUUCUCACCGCGGAAGCCGACUAAUUGCGAUAAACUUAUUACCGCAACAAAAAAAAACUCCAAAUCUCACUUCAUUUCGCGAACCUAAUCUUCAAAUGAUCCAUUUAUUUGAUUCCAUACCCGAAACCCUGAUCGCACACGAACCAAAGCGGGAAGAAGCCGCGAAUUGGUGGACUGUUGGGUUUUUGCUUCCACCGUGUUUUUUUCCCAUCCAGCCAUCCGUAGCAUGAAAACUCCCGAAACUGUAGGUCUCUCGCCACCCAGCCCCAUCCGAACGGUGGGUCGUUAGGUGUUUCGCAAGGUAUGCAACGAUCCGCAACGCGGCAUUACGGUGGUUGUGCAUUUUAAUCGGGGUUUUCUAAAUGUUAAAAAAAUAUAGAUUUACGUAUCCGAGAUUGUUGUCCGGGCGGGGGGCAGGUAUGGAUCGUCGGGUGUGUCCAUUCGCCGUUGCUGCUGCUGUAACACGCUUGAAUGCAAACACGCCGGAAAAGUUCCCAUCAGGAACCAGCACUCUCUCUCUCUCUCUCUCCUUCUGACCGCAAGAGCAGGAAUCGGUCAUCCAUUUUAUGUGUCGCAUUUUGUUAUUGUCCUCCCUGCUCCCGAACCCGGAAUCCGCAUAACGCUGGGUGUGGGUGAUGACAUUUUCCACAUUUUCUUCACUUUUCUCUUUCUCUUUUCCGACUCCGUUAAGCAGACAACAAACAAGCAGGCACACCUCCAUGUCUCGAUGGAUGGCCACUGCCGGAAAUGCUGGCAAUCGGUCACGAUUCACCGUGUGUGUGUACGUUUAUUGGAGCCAUUUUCACGUCAACAGUAGCUGUCCAAACAAAUCGUGCGUCCAUUUACCUGUCGGGCCGAAAUUGAGUGUCCAUAGUGCGUGAAGUACGGCACAAUAAGCUUUGGAGCUUGUGUGUACGUGUGUCGGCAUCUCACUGCAACACACAUAAUAAAGCGCUCCGAGGGUGGUGAUCUAUCAUCAUGAUCCAGUUCCCGAAGAGAACGUCGGAAUUGAAACCACCGGGAAAAGGGAAUGUAAAGCCCCCAAAAAGAAAGAAACCGGUAGUAACCAUCGGUCCCUUUCUCCCUCCCAGGGUGUGAUUUAUGGGCUUGGUUUCCAUCCCCCCAAAUGCUGCUGAAGCCCGAUUUGUUCGACGACAUUCGUACGGUAGCGUACACAAUGGGGGACUACUAACCUUCAAAACUGGGCGUGCGUCGUGUGUGUGUGUGUGUUUGGUUGCAUGUCCGAUCGAAUCAUGAUCUUCCCGAGACUGUCACGAUCGCCUAGAUGUUCGAUAUGUGGACUCUUUGUCAGUGAGCUACGCAUCGGAAGCAUUUGUUUUGGGCGCACGAGCGGUUGUGCUUUUGUUUCGAAGAUAUCUCAGUUGAGUUUAGGUUCUAGGUCUCGGUGUGAU
Molecule: long non-coding RNA, 4117 nt
Organism: Anopheles stephensi (Asian malaria mosquito)
Lineage: Eukaryota; Metazoa; Arthropoda; Insecta; Diptera; Culicidae
Exons: 3
Source: RefSeq, a predicted model, not a curated record